GUGGGGAAUGUUGGACAAUGGGCGAAAGCCUGAUCCAGCCAUGCCGCGUGUGUGAAGAAGGUCUUCGGAUUGUAAAGCACUUUAAGUUGGGAGGAAGGGCAGUAAGUUAAUACCUUGCUGUUUUGACGUUACCGACAGAAUAAGCACCGGCUAACUUCGUGCCAGCAGCCGCGGUAAUACGAAGGGUGCAAGCGUUAAUCGGAAUUACUGGGCGUAAAGCGCGCGUAGGUGGUUUUGUAAGUUGGAGGUGAAAUCCCCGGGCUCAACCUGGGAACUGCCUCCAAAACUGCAUGACUAGAGUACGGUAGAGGGUAGUGGAAUUUCCUGUGUAGCGGUGAAAUGCGUAGAUAUAGGAAGGAACACCAGUGGCGAAGGCGACUACCUGGACUGAUACUGACACUGAGGUGCGAAAGCGUGGGGAGCAAACAGGAUUAGAAACCCGAGUAGUCC
Molecule: ribosomal RNA, 450 nt
Filed under: uncultured bacterium
Lineage: Bacteria
Description: partial 16S ribosomal RNA
Rfam family: Bacterial small subunit ribosomal RNA
Source: RNAcentral